Molecule: non-coding RNA, 822 nt
Organism: Oncorhynchus mykiss (rainbow trout)
Lineage: Eukaryota; Metazoa; Chordata; Actinopteri; Salmoniformes; Salmonidae
Source: RefSeq, a predicted model, not a curated record
CAAUUCCUUGUCGAGAAAUGUGCCUAUUUUCGUCGAAAGUACGUAAUGCCACGAUUCCAAAGCUAUACGAUACUACAAAUAACAAGUUAAUUACCUCACAUCUCGGUAAAGACUAGUAAUGUUGUACUUCUUGUUGACUAAAUUCGUGUUAAUGUUGGGUUUUUGAGCUAGCGCCCAGUAGACUCCAUUCACUCCGUGAUGGAGAGCGAUCCCUGUCCCAGAGUCGCCCAGAAUGCACCGCGUGGGCCAAUGACGUAGUAUCGUCAACGUUUCCUCAAAAGUAUAUCUGCCGUUGUGAUUUAAACUCCACUCUGUGAGACACAUCGAUCUGCAGGUUGAACAUGAUCUCCAGGCUCAAAGCGUCAGUCCACCAGCUGAACUCUCAGUCAGACUGGUGAAUGGGACCACUUCCUGUUCUGGGACAGUGGAAGUCUUCUACAGAGGAGAGUGGUUGAGUCUAUGUUCUAGUUGGUGGAGAAUGAUCGGAGAGGUUAAGGUUGUGUGUAGAGAGCUGGACUGUGGGAAUCCUGUAGCUGAAUCUAGAGGACCUCUGAUUGAAGAUGGAAGAAGAGGAGUCAGACUAUUUAGUAUUUGUAGUGGAGAUGAGUCUUCUAUUAGACAGUGUGACAACAUAGAAGCACAUGGUGUCUGUUAUGGUGGAUAUUAUCGUCAUGUGAUCUGUUCAGGUAAGAGACUGGUCAUAUUGAGAGAUUUAUUUAUACAUUAUACAAUAUUACCAUGUAUCAUGUUUUAUGUGUUUUAUUUCAUUUAAAUAGAGGGAGAGAUGUCAGAUGUAUUUAAACAUUAUAUUUGUGUUUGUCA